AGCUAACGUUGGCGUCAUGCCUAACACAUGUAUUUCUAAUGAAUUCUUUGGAGUUUGUGUCCUCUUGGCGUGUAACCUGUCGGAAUGUGUCUCUUGGAUCGGCAUUUCUCAGGGAAACUUGUUCUAUCUUUGAAUGUGCCCUUUGGGCGUACUAUUUUUCGUCACUACUUCGACCCGAGUCUGAUUAGCUAGUCGUUGAGGUAACGGCUCACCAAUGCUACUAUCAGUAGCUGGUCUGUGAGGAUGACCAGCCACACCGGGACUGAGUCACCGCCCAGACUCCUACGGGAGGCAGCAGUGGGGAAUCUUGCGCAAUGGGCGAAAGCCUGACGCAGCCAUGCCGCGUGAAUGAUGAAGGUCUUAGGAUUGUAAAAUUCUUUCACCGGGGACGAUAAUGACGGUACCCGGAGAAGAAGCCCCGGCUAACUUCGUG
This 433-nucleotide ribosomal RNA is filed under the name uncultured bacterium. RNAcentral's name for it is "partial 16S ribosomal RNA". It matches the Rfam family "Bacterial small subunit ribosomal RNA", at positions 29 to 507 of the family's 1533-position model. The record is from RNAcentral.